GGGCAGGUGGUGGAACGGUAUACACGAAGGACUUAAAAUCCUUUNNUUCGAAUCCCACCCUGCCCACCA
RNAcentral lists this transfer RNA (69 nucleotides) under Patescibacteria group bacterium. Its description in RNAcentral is "tRNA-Leu". It matches the Rfam family "tRNA". From Rfam's summary of the family: Transfer RNA (tRNA) molecules are approximately 80 nucleotides in length. Their secondary structure includes four short double-helical elements and three loops (D, anti-codon, and T loops). The record is from RNAcentral.